Long non-coding RNA from Oncorhynchus tshawytscha (Chinook salmon), 5377 nucleotides. The record is from Ensembl. Lineage: Eukaryota; Metazoa; Chordata; Actinopteri; Salmoniformes; Salmonidae.
UACGGGGAGUCAAACAUUUAAUAAAGAACGGACAUGAGACAGGAACAGCGUCAGUAAACUAAUAAUACAGACAAAAAACAAUCAAUGCAUCAGCAGGGAAACUGACAAAUAUAGGCAAGGUAAUAAACAGAUAAGUGAGUCCAAUAUAGCUGAAGAGCAUGACAAGGAAAGGCAGGUGUGCGUAGUGGAUGAUAGGAGUGAGUGAUGCAGGGCAGCCUGGCACCCUCAAGCACCUGGGGGGGAAGAGCAGGAGCAGACGUGAAAAAUAAUCUAUAUUCUAUCAAUAGCAAUGAUUAUGAUUAGGAUACACAAUUAAAUUAAUAUAUGUCAACUGUAUUCAAAAUGUCCACAUGGAUACUAAAGGAAAGUAAAUCAAAUGUAGUCUUUUGCUCACUCUAAUCUGGAAUGCAUUUACCAGAUGCUUGUCACCUUUCACCUUUACCUAGUUUGUUUUCAGAUAAUAAUACAAGACAGUAAAAACUAUAUCAGUAGGCAUACAUUCUAUACAUUAGAGUAAUAAAAUAUGAACAGGCCUAAAAACACAAUAAAAAUGCAGUGCAUGAAGAAAGCUAUUGUUCCGAAAACAUUUCAAAUCACGGUUUACAGUUUACUAAAGGUGUUAGAGCAUAGGCUUUAGGCUAUAACUUGGAAGGGUGCUUCAGGCAAUAUUUUAACAACUAAUGCAAUCCCUUUUUAAUUCAUAUUCAUUUGGGUUCUGAUGUAUGACACACAAAUAAUUGUGGCCACAAUGAAAAUCAGGAUGUUUAUGCUGAGAAAAACAUGGUUCAGCCAAGUGAGAGCAUGUUCCUGUUUGAUUUCUGAAACAAGAGGAAAGUGGUUGUUACACUCAUGUCUACUUGAAUAGUAGGCUAACAAAACAGACACAUGUCAAAUUGUACCAACACUUACCCUUUGGGACCAGUGUUGUCAACUUUGAGACCAGGGUCAUCUGGUUGAUGUCUUACACAGGAAAAAGGAGAGAUGGCCACUUUACAAUAUUAUAAACAAUUUCUUUAGAAUUUCAUCAGAAAUUCAGCUGCAUAACAAUGUUUUUUUUUUGUAAUGUAGCCUAUAUGCGUGUUACAUUCUUAAAAGUGUUUCAAAAGUAUGCAUAAGCUACAACAAUUUUGUGGUUGUUGGGUAACACCCAAACGUGUGCUUUCUGUCAUUAUGAAUUAUUAUGUAACAGUACAAAAGUACAGAAAAAAAACAUAAGAACUUCUCUGGUGUUUUCAUCUGCAAAAGUUUUUGAAAGCAAACUAAAGUUGUAUCCAUAUUUUCUGAAAACCAAUGUAAUUUAAACCAAUUACAUGUCAAUGGUGGUGUUGAUGAUAUACAUACCUUCAAAAAUGUGAAGUGUGCCACCCUCCCCAUAAACCUUGCUGUUGACACUGUCAAUGAUGCACUUUGCGAUGCAAAUUGGCAUAAUGGUGUCACUCAAGGUCAGGUUUCUCAAUGUCAUAGUAGUAGCUGUUUUGCUCAAAUUCAUGUUGACACGAUGCUUAUACAACUCCAAACUUGUGACAUCACCUUGAUCUUCAAUGAUCCAUCUCAUUUUGCAAUUUCUUAUUUCCUCAUGAUCUGAGGUUAUGUUGCAAUUAAGAGCAGCUGUUUCCCCUACUAUGUAAGCAUUCUUUGAGGACCACUGGUUCAUCCACACCCUGGCAUUUGCAGGGACUAGGAGGAAACAAACAUACAUAGUAAUGAAUGUCUGAACUACCCUUUAACCUUAACUUGCAUGCAGUAUGAUUGUCAACAUCUUCUGAAAAUGUUCAAGAAAUACAGCCACCAAUAACAUCAAGAGGACCAGAAAAGAUGGAAGAUGGAAAAGAUUUGGGAAAGAACCAUGAACCAACCAUUGAAUUAAAUUGUAAUGACGGUGCAAUUCACAUAUGUACUAACAUCAUAGAUUGUAGAUGGACUGGCUUCUUGAAAGACGUUGUAUUUGAUUGCCCGCUUGAUAAUGACAAGUUUCAAUGUUCAGUGGAGACGGAUGAAGUAAAGAAAAACAAGGAAGAACAACAAACAGUACCAGUGGCACCGAUAUGCAAAGACAAUAGAAGCUGUGGAUUCCCUACAACAUUUGUAGGUGAAAGUGUAAGAUGCACCAUACGUAUGCAAACACAACUACCAACAACAUCAAGAAAACCAGACAAUCUGAAGAAUAAAACAGAGCCAAAACACAAUAUACCCUGGUGGAUUUGGUUAAUAACUUUCCUUUGGCCUUUUGCCUUUGACAUUAGCGUUGGCAUUGAUGUUGGGAUUUGGAUUAAUCAAUGUCAGGAGAAAAAGGAUUAAUUUGAGACACGUGAUGAGGCGCAUAGAAGUGGAUGGAAUGAUAUAAAAAACAAAUGAGGAGGUAUUAUUGCAGGGGUUAACCUAUGGGUCCACUAGUAUGAGCCAUCAUCACCAUUUAGCCAGCAGGCUAUUUUAAUACUAAUCUCAUUGGGGUAAAUUAAUCAAAUGUUUUAAAAGAUAUAUAAAAUCUGCAUGGAUUAGUGUUUGCCAUCAUGUGUGACGCAGUGAUAAAACACCUGAAAGAAUGCCUACAUUAACAUACAGUACCAGUCAAAAGUUUGGAGACACCUACUCAUUCCAGGGUUUUUCUUAAUCUUUUACUAUCUUCUACAUUGUAGAGUAAUAGUAAAGAAGACAUCAAAACUUUGAAAUAACACAUAUUGAAUCAUGUAGUAAGCAAAAAAAGUGUUAAACAAAUCCAAAUAUAUUUUAGAUUUGAAAUUCUUCAAAGUAGCCACCCUUUGCCUUGAUGACAGCUUGGCACACUCUUGGCAUUCUCUCAACCAGCUUAAUGAGGAAUGCUUGAAGAAGUUCCCACAUAUGCUGAGCAGUUGUUGGCUGCUUUUCCUCCACUCUGCGGUCCCAAACAAUCUCAAUUGGGUUGAGUUCGGGUGAUUGUGGAGGACAGGUCAUCUGAUGCAGCACUCCAUCACUCUCCUUGGUCAAAUAGACCUUACACAGCUUGGAGGUGUGUUUUGGGUCAUUGUCCUGUUGAAAACAAAUGAUAGUCCCACUAACCUUACAGUGAAAUGCUUACUUACAGGCCUCUAACCAACAAUGCAGUUUAAAAAAUAUGAAUAAGAAUAAGAAAUAAAAGUAACAAGUAGUUAAAGAGCAGCAGAAAAAUAACAAUAGUGAGACUAUAUACAGGGGGUACCGGUACAGAGUCAAUGUGCGGGGGCACUGGUUAGUUGAGGUAAUAUGUACAUGUAGGUUAUUAAAGUUAUUAAAGUGACUAUGCAUAGAUAAUAACAUAGUAGCAACGGCAUAAUAGAGGGGAGGGGGGGGGCAAUGCAAAUAGUCUGGGUAGCCAUUUUAUUAGAUGUUCAGGAGUGUAAUGGUUUGGGGAUAGAAGCUGUUUAGAAGCCUCUUGGACCUAGACUUGGCACUCCGGUACCGCUUGCUGUGCGGUAGCAGGGGGGGCUGGAGUCUUUUUGGGGGGCUGGAGUCUUUAACAAUUUUAGGGCCUUCCUCUGACACUGCCUGGUAUAGAAGUCCUGGAUGGCAGGAAGCUUGGCCCCAGUGAUGUACUGGGCCAUACGCACUACCCUCUGUAAUGCCUUGCGGUCGGAGGCCGAGCAGUUGCCAUACCAGGCAAUGGUGCAACCAGUCAGGAUGCUGUUGAUGGUGCAGCUGUAAAACCUUUUGAGAAUCUGAGAACCCAUGCCAAAUCUUUUCAGUCUCCUGAGGGGGAAUAGGUUUUGUUGUGCCCUCUUCACGACUGUCUUGGUGUGCUUGGACCAUGUUAGUUUGUUGGUGAUGUGGACGCCAAGGAACUUGAAGCUCUCAACCUGCAGCUCCGUCAAUGAGAAUGGGGUCCGGUCCUCCUUUUCCUGUAGUCCACAAUCAUCUCCUUUGACUUGAUCACAUUGAGGGGGAGGUUAUUGUCCUGGCUCCACAUGAAGCUGGUUGAGCUGUCAUCAAGGCAAAGGGUGGCUACUUUGAAGAAUGUCAAAUAUAAAAUAUAUUUUGAUUUGUUUGACACUUUUGGUUACUACAUGAUUCCAUAUGUGUUAGUUACUUCAUAGUUUUGAUGUCUUCACUAUUAUCUACAAUGUAGAAAAUAGUCAAAAUUAAGAAAAACCCUGGAAUGAGUAGGUGUGUCCAAACCUUUGACUGGUACUGUACCUUAACAGAAAGUUUGAAAAUGGUUUACAGUAGUUACUACAAAUGUUAUUAUAAGGAGUAAUUAAUAUGACCGCCACAAAAUGACAUACGAUCAAAGGCUUCUCCCUCUUCUAUUGUUAGUUUAAUAAUCUGAUAAUAUGUGAAGCAUGACUCAGGUGGAACGUGGGUGGUUUCAUAACAUCCACUCACUCAAUCUACUCCCCAUGACUCAACCUUACUGUGAACUGCUGGGGCUCAAACUGGAUAUAGCUGUUUUAAUGUUUGCGACACUACUAACUACACUAACUGCAUUAAUCAUCAACUGAUAUGAGUAUUUUGACUUCAUCCUAACCCCAAUUACAAUACUUUUCAAGAUACCAAACAAAUAACAUAAUAUUUGGUUAAGAUAUGAUAAGAUGAUCAUUUUAGAAGAGAGCAAAGGACUUUUUUUGUCCAUGUCACUGGAAUGAUGGAAUGAACUUUAUUUGUCCAUACAGUGUAGUUACUGUUUUGCCUAACCCUCUCCUACCUAGGACUUAUUGUUUACUACUUUUAAAUACUAAUUGUGUUUGUGCACUUCCUCAAGAAAAUAUUUAUGUUCAAUUUUAAUUAUUGAAAUGUUUUUUUUUCUGUAAUUUAGGAUUUUAUAAUUGUGGGGAUUUCUUCUACUGUUGUUUUUGAUUUACAGUACCUACGGUGCAUUUUGUGCUUGCUUCAUUAUCCUUAUUGGGAUGCACUCAUUGCUUGAUCAUCAGCUAAAUUAUUCAAUUGUUCAUUGUAAUUCUAAUUGUCACGCCCUGGUCUUAGUAUUUUGUGUUUAUAUAUUAUUUGGUCAGGCCAGGGUGUGACAUGGGGUUAUUUUGUGUUGUGUUGUGGUAUUGGGGGUUUUAGUAGGUAUUGGGAUUGUGGCUGAGUAGGGGUGUCUAGCAUAGUCUAUGGCUGCCUGAGGUUCUCAAUCAGAGUCAGGUGAUUCUCGUUGUCUCUGAUUGGGAACCAUAUUUAGGUAGCCUGGGUUUCACUGUGUGUUUGUGGGUGAUUGUUCCUUUCUUAGUGUUUUGUAUUUCACCAGAUAGGCUGUUGUCAUUAUUUCAUUUUGUUAGAUUUGUAGUUUCUGUAUGUAUAGGUUUUCCUUCAUUAAAAUAUAUCAUGAAUCAUCAUCACGCUGCAUUUUGGUCCGAUCCUUGUUCUACCUCUUCGUCAGAGGAGGAGAUAGAAGAGAGCCGUUACACUAAUGUUACAUUUUAGAUUGUUC